This 301-nucleotide ribosomal RNA is filed under the name uncultured bacterium. RNAcentral's name for it is "partial 16S ribosomal RNA". It matches the Rfam family "Bacterial small subunit ribosomal RNA", at positions 509 to 807 of the family's 1533-position model. The record is from RNAcentral.
CAGUCGCCACGGUAAUACGAAGGGUGCAAGCGUUACUCGGAAUUACUGGGCGUAAAGCGUGUGUAGGUGGUUGUUUAAGUCUGUCGUGAAAGCCCUGGGCUCAACCUGGGAAUUGCAGUGGAUACUGGGUCACUAGAGUGUGGUAGAGGAUAGUGGAAUUUCCGGUGUAGCAGUGAAAUGCGUAGAGAUCGGAAGGAACAUCUGUGGCGAAGGCGACUAUCUGGGCCAACACUGACACUGAGGCACGAAAGCGUGGGGAGCAAACAGGAUUAGAUACCCCGGUAGUCCCUGUCUCUUAUAC